GGUUAUUUAAUCUACUCAACUGCUGGGUUAUGAAAUGUGUAACCCAUUUUGGGUUAUUUGAAUGAGAUUUGGGUUAUUUUUGUGCAACAGUUGGGUUAUUUAAUCUACUCAACUGCUGGGUUAUGAAAUGUGUAACCCAUUUUGGGUUAUUUGAAUGAGAUUUGGGUUAUUUUAGUGCAACUUGACCCAGCACCUGGGUUGUUGUACUUGUUUGAACCGGUUUGAACAUCAUUACAUCUACAGUCAUCCUCCACAACGCAACGCCAGGAUCCAUUUUGUCUUCGAUCUGAGUGGGGGAAAACAUCCUCGUUGCGAGGUAAAUCAACAAUAAGAGUGUACCAUAUCUGACGAGCGCGCAUCACAGCUUAAAGAAUGGUGAAGAAACAAUUGCCAGCCCCUCAGUCAGGUACAGGACUACAUGCAAGACACUGCAGUCUACAGGGCCAAGUGCAUUAGGGACAACAAUUGGACCAUCUACCAGAUCCUCCAAGAAUUCCCUCACCUAAUGAGCAAAGGCAUGGACUUUCUUAUCCUGCAUGGGGAUGCUUCAUCAAAGUUGUUUGAAACUUGGCUACCCAUUUAUGCGGAGA
Nothobranchius furzeri (turquoise killifish) is the source of this 590-nucleotide non-coding RNA. The record is from RefSeq and is a predicted model, not a curated record. NCBI's taxonomy places the organism in Eukaryota, Metazoa, Chordata, Actinopteri, Cyprinodontiformes, Nothobranchiidae.